UACGGGGGGGGUAAGCGUUGUUCGGAAUUACUGGGCGUAAAGCGUGCGCAGGCGGUGAUGUAAGGCAGUUGUGAAAUCCCCGGGCUCAACCUGGGAACUGCAUCUGUGACUGCAUUGCUGGAGUGCGGCAGAGGGGGAUGGAAUUCCGCGUGUAGCAGUGAAAUGCGUAGAUAUGCGGAGGAACACCGAUGGCGAAGGCAAUCCCCUGGGCCUGCACUGAUGCUCAUGCACGAAAGCGUGGGGAGCAAACAGG
Molecule: ribosomal RNA, 253 nt
Filed under: uncultured bacterium
Lineage: Bacteria
Description: partial 16S ribosomal RNA
Rfam family: Bacterial small subunit ribosomal RNA
Source: RNAcentral